This is a long non-coding RNA of Mesoplodon densirostris (Blainville's beaked whale), 906 nucleotides long. RefSeq lists it as uncharacterized. The transcript has 3 exons. Lineage: Eukaryota; Metazoa; Chordata; Mammalia; Artiodactyla; Ziphiidae. The record is from RefSeq and is a predicted model, not a curated record.
GAAACCAGAUGAGUGAUGGCCCCAGCAAGACAAAGCCCAGACUACAGAACAAUUUCUUGAAAUUAGAGAGGUAAAUGCCCAGAUUUCUGAAAAUCUCUGCAAACUCCUGGACUUAACGUGAACAGCAAUAAAGUACAGUCAAGCUCCACUCCGGGAACAAGGCUUUAGUCUGAUUAAAGAUGAAUUUUCGAAUCUGAAAGAGGUACCAAUAGAAGAUUCUCUUCCCCCAUCAGUUACAAGGAAGUUUUAACCCAAGAGGCCCAUACUCAGAGAAUCCAUACUCAGAGAAUCCAGACCAGCCAGAGAUUAAUACAAGAAGCAGUGAGCUUGGAUGACACGCCACAGGUGGAAAAGAGAGAGGAAGACCCAGUGGGCAGCCCGUGGGUCUAAUAUUUGGUGUCAGUGAUGGGAUCCAAAGUGAACUUCUGACAGCUUCGGGGACAAUGAGAAGCACAGGCCUGCUGCCUGGAGAGCACUUUGAGUUCCCAGUCUUUCCCACCAUUUCCAAAGGCUGCGUGUAAAUGCUUCUCAGUUCUGAGCUCGGCUCUCUUUGCAUUGAGCUCCCAACCUAGUUGGCAUUCCAGUCUGCAAUUCCCCCUUCGGGAAACUCCUUCCAGUCCGCCGUCCUCACUUGUGGUUCAGUGCCCUCCCCAGUUCCCAGUUCCAGGUUGGGAAUUGCUGGUGGUGUGGCCAGUCCGCAGUAACAUCUCUUGGUUACUGCUGGUUUGUUAAGGUGCCCAUUUGUCUCAUUUUGUGUAUAUAAAGGCCACUGCUAGUGGGAAUCUCAGAAGCCAAAAAAGCUGCAAAAAUUGGUGGGCACGGAUCAAACACUUAAAGGCCAUUAGGGCACCCGCCACCUAACUCAAAGACUCUGUGUUAGGAUAAGGUGGUCACAGGACAGGUUAG